Molecule: long non-coding RNA, 1852 nt
Organism: Ahaetulla prasina
Lineage: Eukaryota; Metazoa; Chordata; Lepidosauria; Squamata; Colubridae
Exons: 3
Source: RefSeq, a predicted model, not a curated record
AUCAGUUCAACUCAUUAGAUCAAUAACUGUUAAGGUAAAUUGAAUCAAAAUGUGAUCCCAAUUAAAUCAGUAUCCAAUUAGAUGCCUCUUGCACAUAUUUCCCAGAAGCUAGAUUUGAGAAAGCUGUUGACUUUGCUUCUGGAGGCAAUAGCCAAGUAUAGUUUAGUAGCCAAGUAUAGUUUAAUCUGUCAAAAUUUAAUUCCCUUUUUAAACUAUUCCAUCCUGGAAACUACCAAUCCUCAGUAGAAAACUUCUGUUUUUAAAAUUGCUUUUAUAAAGAUGGUUGUUUUCAAGUAUCUCAGACAAUACACUGCAAACCGUUAUAAAGUCCAACUCCUAAGAGCAGUUCAAUAAUAGCAUCACCCAGAGAUAAUCGCCACUAUGUGCUAUUCUGUCAAAGAUUGACAAGCUUCCAUCAUGAAAUAUAUCCAAACUUUGUCUCUUUAACCACAUGCUGACAGUCCUUACACCUCUUCAUUUGAAUCAAACAGAUGCCCACGAAGAUAUCUCAAUUUUGGAUAAGAGAAGCUCUGCAUGGAAGUGGACAUAGAGUUUUACAAAAAAAAUCUGAAGAAAAAAUCCUGCUUAUUUAAUACUCAUUAGUGAAAAUACACCAUUCUAGUUUUGUUGCUCCAAAGAUAAGGUAACUUAUGAGGCUGCUGUGAUAGAAAAAAACAUGCAGGAGCAGGUUGAUUGAAUUUUGGAAUUCUCUAAUAUAAAACACCCCAAAAGCACUUUAAUCUUUUUAAUUGUAAAACUGCCAAUGGUGGCUAAAAGUAUAGUAAUACUUUGGCAUCAAUACACAUUUGAUUUCAUUCUUAUUGUAUAUACACUGUAUAUACAGUACACAGGGCAGAGGUGUGCAGCUUGUCAGGGAUGUAAAUGGCUGUGGCUACUAGUUAUGGUAAAUGCAUAUUCUGUGACAAGCUUGAAGUAUUAGCCAACCCCACAUAGCUGUUAGAAUUAGGCACUUUUGAACUAAAACAAAUCAAACCGGGCCAGUAAUAAUUUGCAUGGUAGUUUUUAAAAGAAUAAUCCUGUUUCCAUAUGUUAUAGUAUUCCAAGAAAUUGGGAGUCCCAAUACAAUUUAAUAAAAGAAAACAAGUGAAAAUGCCAAAUUCCAGCCAAGACAAAGUGUACCUAUUGCACCUGAAGAACCAAUUUGAAGUAGUGGUUAAGGGUUAAGGCACCAGGUUACAAACUGGUAGGUCGUGAGUUCUAGUCCUACCAUUGGUAUAAAGUCAGGUAAGUGACCUUGGGCCAGUCACUCUCAGCCCAAGGCAAUUCUCAGCCCACUUCUGAAAUCUUGCCAAGAAAACUGAAGGGGACUUGACCCAGCAGUUGCCAGGAAUUAGUAACAACUUGAAGGAACACACACACACACAAAAUCUGCACCUGAAGAUUCAGAUAUGCUGUACACAGGAAAGGACAUUGACCUGCCAAAUGUUGGUGAUAUAUGACCGACUUAUCCCUGUAUUUUCACUAAAAGAAACCAUAAAUAUUGUAAAGGGUAUAAAGAGUGAGUACUUAAUCAAACUUGUAUUACAUACAAAAUUGGGAAACUGUCUCAAAUGUUCAUGUUAAUUUCCCUAUGGGAAACUAUUUUGCUACUUCCAAGUGAUUCGAUAGUAUGAGGUCUAGCCCUUAAAUUACCUAAAACAGCAAUACUGUUUACUGAAUCUGCACUACUAUUAAUCGUUUCAUAGUUCCCAUCACCAAUCUCUUUCCACUUAUGACUGUAUAACUAUAACUUGUUGCUGGCAAUCCUUAUGAUUUAUAUUGAUAUAUUGACCAUCAAUUGUGUUGUAAAUGUUGUACCUUGAUGAACGUACACUGAGAGCAUAUGCACCAA